GAAACUAUCUGUCUGGGCACAGAUGUCUGCCUCCCUGGCAGGCUCCUGCUCACCCUGCUGUGGCCUACCAUUCUCAAGAUGCAGAGGAAAGGGUGGUGGGAUUCUGUAGGUGACUGUUUUAAAACAGCAAGACCAGGAGGGGCCUGUGCUGCUUUCUGGAACUUUCCGCAGCUAAGGAGGACAGCAUCGGGAAGACGAAACUGACUGUUUGCAUCUAUGAAGAACUGAGAGUUAACGACAAAGUUUCCAUGUGAUAGCACCCUUGAAGAAAGAAGAGAGAGAGAGCCAGAGCACGGGGCUUCCCAUGCCCAGAUCAUUGGUACAAUGACUCUGACUACAGCUCCUGGGCCCAGAAAAAGAGGUAGGAGAGAGGUCUGAGAAGGGACCCGGGGCUUUACAGUCAAGGCAGGGCUUAAGACAUUCUCGGAAGGAGGGGGACAGGCGAGCUACUGUACACAGCAAACGAGAUGAAAGGCAAGAAGAUUCCAGGAAUGAACACACAGAGCUUCUGAAACGCUCCGGCUCAAGGGCCCACAGUGGGGCUCAGAGGAGGGGGGAGAUGAAAUGGUCCCUGAAUGAAGCCCUUCCUCUGUGAUCCAGAAACCUCUGCUGGCCUUCACC
RNAcentral lists this long non-coding RNA (621 nucleotides) under Mus pahari (shrew mouse). RNAcentral's name for it is "lncRNA (MGP_PahariEiJ_G0006354.1)". The record is from RNAcentral. Lineage: Eukaryota; Metazoa; Chordata; Mammalia; Rodentia; Muridae.